GAUGAACGCUGGCGGCAUGCCUAACACAUGCAAGUCGAUCGGUAAGGCUCUUCGGAGUACCCGAGAGGCGGACGGCUGAGUAACGCGUAGGAACACACCCUGCAGUGAGGGAUAAGACACCGAAAGGUGUUCUAAUACCGCAUACGGUCUUCGGAUUAAAGCAUUUAUGCGCUGAAGGAGUGGCCUGCGCCAUAUUAGAUAGUUGGUGAGGUAAUGGCUCACCAAGUCGAUGAUGUGUAGCUGGUCUGAGAGGAUGAUCAGCCAGACUGGAACUGAGACACGGUCCAGACUCCUACGGGAGGCAGCAGUGAGGAAUAUUUCACAAUGAGCGAAAGCUUGAUGGAGCAAUGCCGCGUGCAGGAUGAAGGCCCUCGGGUUGUAAACUGCUUUUAUAAGAGAAGAUUAUGACGGUAACUUAUGAAUAAGGGACGGCUAACUACGUG
This 443-nucleotide ribosomal RNA is filed under the name uncultured bacterium. RNAcentral describes it as "partial 16S ribosomal RNA". It matches the Rfam family "Bacterial small subunit ribosomal RNA", at positions 28 to 507 of the family's 1533-position model. The record is from RNAcentral.